CCCUCCCCGCGCCUCACUGACAGGUGGAGCUGUGCCCCGUCUGUCGUCACGUGACGGGGGGUGGGGAGGAGAUACCGCCUCGCGAGAGCGCUGUGACGAAGCUACCGCGGCCCCGCAGGCGUGAGGGAGGGGAGGGGGUGCGGCUGCCGGCUGCCAGCGGAGGGCUUGGCGGGGCCAUCCAGUAGGGGAGCGGGAAGGAGCUUUACGGAGCGUUUGAUCUAACACGGGGAUGAUUAACAAAGAUGGACAACAGCAUUAUAGUCACUUUGGGCAGCUGAAGCUGACCACGUAAGUGCAGCAUACCAAGUCAGGCGAGGAAGGGGCAUAAAAUUUGCCCUCUGAAAAAAAAAGAGAAGAAACACCCCUCACUUGCAGAAAGAAAAUUCUGACUAGGAAAUACCAGGGAGCUUGCAUGAAAAGCAGUAAGACAAACAGAUCUGAUCUCUAUGUGGCCCAUGUCAAAAUUCCUCUGGAUGGCAGCAAGACUGGGAUCCAACUGGAAUCACGCAGAUUCAGCUGCCAGGAAACACGAGUAACCUGUGCGCAUGACUACCUUUGUGUUUACACUUCGUGCAGCUUCCAGCAAUGCACCUCUUUUUGGGACAGGGCAGUUUUUAAGUCUGAUCCUCUCAGUGCGCUGCUGGUUGUGCACCCACACAAACUGGGGAACCAGCUGGACACAGAUAUCACCAACUCUUUCUGAGAUGUGUUGCAGAUGGAGCACAGAGACUCUCAGACUCUAAGAUGAUAUAUGAAUCCUGAGGCAAAAGAAGACCUGAACCCAAACAAUCAACUGGGGCUUUCACCAUCUGAC
This 814-nucleotide long non-coding RNA is filed under the name Gallus gallus (chicken). RNAcentral describes it as "long non-coding RNA NONGGAT000954". Lineage: Eukaryota; Metazoa; Chordata; Aves; Galliformes; Phasianidae. The record is from RNAcentral.